RNAcentral lists this ribosomal RNA (497 nucleotides) under uncultured bacterium. Its description in RNAcentral is "partial 16S ribosomal RNA". It matches the Rfam family "Bacterial small subunit ribosomal RNA", at positions 28 to 507 of the family's 1533-position model. The record is from RNAcentral.
GAUGAACGCUGGCGGCGUGCCUAAUACAUGCCAGUCGAGCGAACAGACGAGGAGCUUGCUCCUCUGACGUUAGCGGCGGACGGGUGAGUAACACGUGGAUAACCUACCUAUAAGACUUGGAUAACUUCGGGAAACCGGAGCUAAUACCGGAUAAUAUAUUGAACCGCAUGGUUCAAUAGUGAAAGACGGUUUUGCUGUCACUUAUAGAUGGAUCCGCGCCGCAUUAGCUAGUUGGUAAGGUAACGGCUUACCAAGGCAACGAUGCGUAGCCGACCUGAGAGGGUGAUCGGCCACACUGGAACUGAGACACGGUCCAGACUCCUACGGGAGGCAGCAGUAGGGAAUCUUCCGCAAUGGGCGAAAGCGUGACGGAGCAACGCCGCGUGAGUGAUGAAGGUCUUCGGAUCGUAAAACUCUGUUAUUAGGGAAGAACAAAUGUGUAAGUAACUAUGCACGUCUUGACGGUACCUAAUCAGAAAGCCACGGCUAACUACGUG